UACGUAGGGGGCUAGCGUUGUCCGGAUUUACUGGGCGUAAAGAGCACGUAGGCGGGUUCGUAAGUCGAUUGUGAAAGCCCCGGGCUUAACCUGGGAAUUGCAGUCGAAACUGCGAGUCUUGAAUGUUCGAGAGGAUGGUAGAAUUCCUGGUGUAGAGGUGAAAUUCGUAGAUAUCAGGAGGAAUACCGGAGGCGAAAGCGGCCAUCUGGCGAAAACAUUGACGCUGAGGUGCGAAAGCGCGGGGAUCAAACAGG
Molecule: ribosomal RNA, 254 nt
Filed under: uncultured bacterium
Lineage: Bacteria
Description: partial 16S ribosomal RNA
Rfam family: Bacterial small subunit ribosomal RNA
Source: RNAcentral